UUUCCGUAGGUGAACCUGCGGAAGGAUCAUUAUCGAGACUACCACGCUUGAUGCUGGCCGCAAGGCAUGUGCUCGGCGUCUCGUCCACACCUCUGUGCACCUUCGAGGGGGCGUCAGCCGCCUCGCUUCAUACACCCAAUAAAGUCUAGUCGAAUGUAACAUAUAAACAAAUACAACUUUCAACAACGGAUCUCUUGGCUCUCGCAUCGAUGAAGAACGCAGC
RNAcentral lists this unclassified non-coding RNA (223 nucleotides) under uncultured fungus. RNAcentral describes it as "sequence contains ITS1, 5.8S rRNA gene". The stretch from base 175 to 223 matches the Rfam family "5.8S ribosomal RNA", at positions 1 to 49 of the family's 154-position model. Lineage: Eukaryota; Fungi. The record is from RNAcentral.